RNAcentral lists this ribosomal RNA (431 nucleotides) under uncultured bacterium. RNAcentral describes it as "bacterial SSU rRNA". It matches the Rfam family "Bacterial small subunit ribosomal RNA", at positions 960 to 1391 of the family's 1533-position model. The record is from RNAcentral.
CGCGAAGAACCUUACCUGGUCUUGACAUCCACAGAACAUUCCAGAGAUGGGAUGGUGCCCUCGGGAACUGUGAGACAGGUGCUGCAUGGCUGUCGUCAGCUCGUGUUGUGAAAUGUUGGGUUAAGUCCCGCAACGAGCGCAACCCUUAUCCUUUGUUGCCAGCGGUCCGGCCGGGAACUCAAAGGAGACUGCCAGUGAUAAACUGGAGGAAGGUGGGGAUGACGUCAAGUCAUCAUGGCCCUUACGACCAGGGCUACACACGUGCUACAAUGGCGCAUACAAAGAGAAGCGACCUCGCGAGAGCAAGCGGACCUCAUAAAGUGCGUCGUAGUCCGGAUUGGAGUCUGCAACUCGACUCCAUGAAGUCGGAAUCGCUAGUAAUCGUGGAUCAGAAUGCCACGGUGAAUACGUUCCCGGGUCUUGUACACACC